Leptonychotes weddellii (Weddell seal) is the source of this 358-nucleotide non-coding RNA. Lineage: Eukaryota; Metazoa; Chordata; Mammalia; Carnivora; Phocidae. The record is from RefSeq and is a predicted model, not a curated record.
CUUGGAGGAGCCAACUUCAUGGUCAGGAGCCGAGCAGGGACAAGGCUGGGCCACUCGGAAGCACCUGAGGACUGAUCAAGAGGAGGGAGGGCCGUGACCACCCAUCUGCCUGAGCCACACCUCACCUGCUGGUCCAGGGGCCCCGUAGCUGAGCCGAGACCCCAGGCCUGACUCGGCCCCGCCCUGGAGAACUGACUCAGGGAGCUCCCAGGAUGGCCGUCCCGCCGCGCAGCCUGAGCGUGAUGGAAGAGACUCGGAACAUGACAACGAACGAAUGCUUCCAAUCCCGGAGCACCGUCCUGCAGGGGCAGCCCUUUGGGGGCAUCCCCACCGUGCUAUUCAUCAACAUCUUCUUGUG